This 629-nucleotide long non-coding RNA is filed under the name Hordeum vulgare. RNAcentral describes it as "long non-coding RNA (HVUL_LNC020810)". Lineage: Eukaryota; Viridiplantae; Streptophyta; Magnoliopsida; Poales; Poaceae. The record is from RNAcentral.
UCUUAUAGAAGAAUAAAAGAUGUACCGAGAAGAUAUUGAACUCAUUUUCGAAUACAACCUUUGUUCAGUGGCAAAAGUUCAAAAAAUGAGAUAAGGAAUGCACAUUAAUGACUACAGUAGAAGGGAGAGCAGGUAACAACAGUAGUGCACAGGGAAAUAAGAAGUGGGGCACGUAUGCAGGUUACGUUAUCCUGGUUCAAACUGCUUAUUGUUGCAAAAAAUCAUGCGAUGUGCAACUAGCUUCACUUUACCUGAUGGCAAGUGAAUUUACUCAUAAAUAUAACACUAGCAGGGUACAGGAAAAAGAAAUGCGAACACACAGUACUAAAAUUUUGCUCACCAGAAUGUUUAUUUCCCUUUUAUGAUAACACGAGCAAAAAAAGUACCUUAGGAAAGUAAUUCACGAGAAACUGUUAAAAUACAGCUUUUACUUAUAUCUGAACAAAGAUUUAUUUAACUAGAGUUUGUCAAUAUGCUGCUUUAUUAACUUAAGUUUUUCUGCUUGGGAUUCCCUAUGCUUCUCUACACAAUACUAAUAUGUAUUCAUAUUCACUUUUGGGAGUUAGCUCUGCUUGUUCUAGUGUAAUACCAAGUUGUUCUUGAGUAGUACAUACAAAACACCUAAUCAU